GCGCUAAGCACGGCGCUUAGGAGCCGGCAUCGCUUCGCCAAAGUUCUCGGUCUGCGGCAGGUUCUGCCAACCGCCUUCAGUGUCUGCGUGCCGAGGAGGUGCGAAUGGCUGAAGGGAGACCGGGUGCGUCAUCUCUGCCCAGAGAUGAUGAGGGAAAGGCCUCGAGCACGGUGGGAGAUAAGGAAUAACUCAUUGUAAAAGGUCCUGCUUAAAUGCAGUGUGUGGCAUCCACACCUGUCCUGCAUAUGUGCACGUCUAUACAUUACCUUUACAUUCUUGCACACGUGUUCAGGUGGGUGAGCUGUAUCCACAAAGCCAAACCAGGUAACUGGAAACUCAGGCUGAAUCUUUACGGGCUUGAGGUCUCUGUAGGAAAUGGUGGCGCACUGAGCCGGCAGUGCUGACCCCAAGCAGGAUGGAGGCCGCCCCUACACCAGCUGUGACCAGUGUGAGAAUCCACCCAGCUCAGUCAUCAUCACGCUGGGGAAGGUCAGCUGGGUGCCCCUCAGUUGUCACGAAGCUGGUGUGGAGCUGCAGAACAGAGCACAACCAGGAGCCCAUCAACCUCCCAGAGCAGCAGCAAAGGCUCAGGGGAGAGCAGCAAAGACAACUGAGAACAUGGAGUGCCCCUGGUGCCCCAGUGACUGCACAGUCUGGGGUCUUUUAGGCUGCAGAGACUGUAGUAGAGAAAAGUAGGGAUGCGUUGCUUGCUUUUCUAGCGUAAGAACUAGAGAGCAUCAAACGAAACUAGCAGGUGUCGGGUUAAAAGCAGUCGGGAGGAGGAGGCUCUAUGCACAGCAGUUAAUUGAACAGUAGUAUUUCCUGCUUUAAAGUUCCAAGAGGUCACAGGGCAUCAAAAAGCACCCGAGCACGCUCGCAGAAGGAAAAAGCACGAGGUGCUGUUAAGCGUGAAGACUGCAUCAAACUACCCCCUAAGCAAGUGAUUUCUAGAGGCUGGAAGCUGCUUUGAGGCUGCAACAGUAUCCAUAGACCUCUGCAUCUCCAUCUCAGUGGGAUGUGUUUUCUUAAUGGGUUUUGCUUCGAGCACUUUGCUGUGUGGCACAAAGGGCCCAGCCGUGAAUGCCUGCAGCCUGCCCAGCACUGCUCAGCCUGCAGAGGGAAAGGUUGGCCUGGCUGGUUCUGCAGUGCUCUGUGGCUAUUGGCAUUUCCAGUGUACGCUCUUAAUUUGUUUGCAGGAUGAGUGAGCUAUGAAAGUCCGUAGUUGAUGCCUCAGCAGAUGCCGUGGGAAGAAUGCUUACAGUCUCACUAAUAAUUUAAUCUCACAUUCAGAGGACACUUUAUUCACCAAGUGGGCAGCCUGUGAAUGACACAGUUGCCUUCCUGGAGGAACAACAACCAGCAGAAUUUCCAGCUCUCUCUUUCCACUUCUUCCCGCUGCCUUCCUCUGAUCUCCACAGGGCUCAUGCAAAGGCAUUAACAAAGACAUUCCUCUCCAUGUCUUCUGCAAUGAGAUGUUCCCGGGAUGUACUAGAAGUUAAAUCUGCUGUGGUACUUUCACAAUGCUGGAAGGUAAUGGGAAUGCUUUUUGAUACAGAGCUUCCAACGAUGACUUCACUCCACCCAAAGGAAGAGUUCUGGCUUUCCUAACUGCUGUUUCAGUAAGACCUGGCAACGUUCAAAUCAGAGCAUUUAACCACAGAGCGUCUGAUAUUCAGAGCAUUUUCUCUCCAGAAUUGCCAAAGUUUGCAGUUUGCGCUAUUCAUCAUCUUCCACAGGGACUCAGUUGAUUCCAUUAGCACCCUGCUUGCUGCACGCAGAAGAUUAACUGUGCUGGCCUGGCCUUGAUUUCUACAAGAAGAAAAGAAUAUAUCCUUCAAAAUGGGAAUCCAUGAAGUUGCAGAGGGUAAAGAAACCAUCCAGCUUAUUUUUGCAGUUUAAUAAUAUUCAGGGAACUGCUCAGCACUGCACACCAGCAGCACCCCAACACUAUCUGCAGCACGUAGAGUGCUUUCUUAAGGCAUUUCAAUGUAAACUCAUCCGUGUGACACCUCUGCUCUCAGCAAGGUGCUUCUGGCCAGGAGCUCUGCCCAUGAGAGCAUGAAGAGGGUGUCUUCAUUACAGAGUGCUCCUCAGCUCUCGUGUUAUUUCAGCUGCGCCAAUCUGAUUGCUGAGAAUGUGGAUGGUAGGAGAGCUGCUCUGUUGUUGUUGGUAAUAAUGACAUAAAACCAUUCCAGGAUGGAAAAAAAACACAAAAAAAAAAUCCUGUUGCUAUUUUAGUGUUGUGAAAGGAUGUUUCGGGGUGACUUCACAACAGGAAUGUCUGAAUUAGCUGAAGAAAGUGCUCUGAGCAAGAUAUUUUUAAGCGACACUGUAAACACAGUCCUCUGCGGCCAGCACUGAGUGCACUUUGCAAAACGUGCCAGCAAAAAUGAGCCAACAAAGAAAAAAGACUGAUGUGAGAAUGAAGCUUUUCUUUCGCAACACAAAGCCUCUCACACGUUACGUAAAGAUGAGUAAGUGCUGUAUAAGGAGUGCUGCCUGUGUUGGAGCUGCCCAGGCUGACCUCCAGAGCUUCAGGACAGCUUCUGCACACUCGGCUUUCCGUUCUUCUCAAGCACAAAUGGAUCCACCUUCUGCUUGUGCUGAAAUAGCUGAAGCCAAGUUCAUCUACCACACCUCUGCUGCCAGCCUGCAGAGCCCAGUAAGUUCAUCUUCUGAACAGCAGCAUCUGGCUCUGUGAGCUGUUUCUGGAGUGCAGCUCGGCAGUGACUCAUCUCUCCUGGAGCCCAUCUCACUGCAUUUCUCCCCCAACCAGUCAUUUCUGUCGCUCUGACCGUUGCCCCGCUCUCAGGUUUGCUCAGCCAGCACAGCCCAGUUGAGGCUGUCGAGGCGGGAUGCCAGGGCUGGGCAGAUAACCAGCAGCGGCAGCACCGACUUGCAGCCCUCUGUUCCCAGAACUGGCUGCACGCUGGGGUCCUGCCAGGGUGGGCUCAUGGGGAAGCAUUGCAGCAAAGCAGAGGGAGGUGCUGAAUCCUCGUGUGUCAGCCCCCAGCGGGGUGCUCUGUAUCUGCAACAGAAAGAGGUCAAGGCAGGGGAUGGAGGGAGGGAAAAGAAAAAGUAUUGGCUAUUAAUAGCAAAUAUGAGUAGCAGCUUUAUUUUGAAUGCCUUAUUUAAUCAGUGAUGUGCAGAAGGCUCACGAUGCACUUUACCUGCUGACUUGCCACGUACAGAUCAAAGAGGGACCGACAGAUUAAACAAACUUUGCAAAGCAGGGGAGUUUUAAAUAGGCUGAACAUCCAGACUCAAAACAACAUGGGGAUAUUGCUCAGACAGCCUCAGCGCCAGCCUGGGCUCAGGGAAUUCAGCCCCCUCCCCUUCCCAGCUGCCGGCAUUGGGUUUCCUCACCGCUCUCAGGUUUGCCUUUGUGUUUUCUGUACCUGCAAGAAGUAAACAGCAACAACCAGAAGCUCAUCCAGGGCUAUGAGGCAGCACAGCAGGUGGGCUCACUUCCUUGGCUCUGGAGGUCACAGCUGGGCCCAGGAGACCAGCUAAACACUGCUAGCCCAUUAAGUCAGGGGGAGGAUUCCCAAAUAAAUAACUAAAGCUCAGAUUCUUGUGGUAAUUAUUUGCAUAUUUGCACCUUGCUUUAAAGCAUUCCAUGCAGGGCAGCAAAUCCUCCUUUUAACCAAAGGAGCACUCCUCAGGUAUGCACGCUAUUGAGCUGCUAAGCAGCAGCAGCUGCCCCAAGGGAAGGUUGAGCAGACAGAGAGCUGCAGCAAAGGCAGGCGGCUGCCAGGUGGAGGCAGAGCUCCUCCUCUCCCAUGGAGGUAGGUAUAAGGGAGUGCUGAGUCACCUACUCCCUGCAGAAAGGAGCUGGAGAAAUGUAAUUUCCUUGCUUUUCUUUGCUCCUGCACCAUCACUUCACUUUUGGAGUGAGUUUGGCUGUCGGGUCAGGAGUUUUCUUUCUUGGAAAGCAUUGUAGUCUUGUACCUUGGGCUAAUAUGUAACAGCCUGAUAAGCUGGUAAUGGUAAUAGUUCUCAAUCAGCUUCAAAGCAGGAGUAAUCUGUCAUUCCUUGGCAAGAAAACCUUUAGAGCACAUAAAAUAGCUGUAAAUACUUUGUGGAAUUCUGUCAAAUAACAUUGACACAAAGCCGUUAGCUCUGUGGGUGAGGUUCCUGUGGGCUUCCCUCUCUCCAUUCAGGUAUUUGGUGUGUCUGUGAUGCUCUGCCCCAUCUCUCCCUGCCUGCAUUGCUCUGUGGGCGCAGCCUGGUGGCCCAGCAGAUCUGCCAGCACCCGGCACCCUCAGGAAUCCAGGGCUGCUCAAAGCCGUGCCAUGUUUAGCUCCAUUGCUUUCAGUGUCACAUCAGCACCUCUCCAAGCUGCUCCAAAAGCAUGUCCUUAAUGCUCCAAAAGUGGCCUGUAAAUGGAAGGCUCCCUUAGCUGUGUUGGCACGGGCCUGCAGCCAGUGCUUUACAUGGCAGCCAAACAAAUGGUCGUCCAGCUUAUUAAGGAGGGAAGUGGUGAGCUCCACCACAGCCACGCUAUCUCUCAAGUGACGGUGAUGAAGACGCAGUUGAAGUCCAGAGGAAAGCCAAGGAGUGAACUAAACGCGUGGCUCUCCGCACUUUGUACAUGUAAGCUCAGUGCUGGAUACCCAAAGUGGAUGGUUCACUGGGACUGUUACCAGCCUGUGUUCCCAAAGCAGGGAGGCCCCAUCUCUGCCCUCAGCAGCUCCAUGCCCAUUUCCAGCCCUGUGGGCAGGAGCAGGCAGAGCCUCAGGCAGGCUGUGCUCAGGGCUCACCCCUCACCAUGCGUGGCACAAAAGGAACAUAAACAGGAAGCAUGAAGCCACAGGAAGUUCGACUACAGAAGUUUCAGUGUUCAUAGAAGCAUUAUUUUUAAUACUUCUAUCGCUGUGCCUCGUGUCAGGAAAGAGCAUUUGAUUUCUCCCUCUGCUAAGAACUUGGGGAGGUAAAAUGUUCCCUCCAGGUUAUGCACUGUUCCCCAGCCUGAUUCUCACUAUGUUACAGCGUGGUGGCACCGAUCUGUGGCUGCUCACACCCUUAUGCUGGGGGUGCUGGGAUUAGACGAUCAGUUUCUCCCACAUUCUCCAUCUAUCUGCUUUCUAAUUUCUCCUUCUCUGGGCACACCUCACCUCCAGGAUUUCCUCAUCCAAACACAAACUCAGCUCCAUCCCCUGCCCCAAUGACAGAUGGACCACUGCCUGCUCCAGACACAGUUCUCCCAUCACACUAAAAGCCAGACGGUCUCCCCGCUGAUUCCUCUUAGUAGCAAAAUCUUCACGUAGAUAAAAUACUAUUUCUGACUUCCAUUGCCCAGCUCCUGCGCUUCCCUCCCUGCUCGUUUGCCCUCCCUUUCCCCCCAUCUCCAUCACGCACCACCAGCUGAACACAGAUCAGCACCAGUGGUUUACCUGGAGGUUUUUAGCACUGUUAUCUAUCAGGGCAUUCCCCUGGUCUGAUGGUUUUGCUUUCUGAACACUCGCAGUGACCACCCUCCCUCCUCAUUAAUUCUCUGCUCCCCAGCCCCUUCCCCCCAUCCCACACCCCUCUUUUGUAAGCCACACGACUUCCUCCUUCCCCCUCCCUGGGAACAUUUUCGGAGCAUUUUUCAGCCACUUCCCUUUUUCAGGCUCAACACGCAGCCACAGACAAAUGAGCACACAGCAUCCUGGGCACACACGGGAGUAACCCCUGCCUCCAACCGCCUGCCUGCCGCAGCACAUUUUAAUCUCAUCAACAACUGCACCAACUAUUUAUAAUCAGCUCUCUGAUUACAUUCCUAAGGUCAACGUCCAGCUCAAAAGACUUGGACUGGCCCGAGCUCUGCUGCAGUUUCUCCCCUCCACAGGAGUUUGCAGAACGUGCUCAUUCCUAUGUGCCACCUCCCUCCUGCUGGCCUGCUCACCAAUGUGUUUUCAUGAUGUCAAAGGCAGUUCAAAGCCCUGUGCUGGCAUGCUGAGCAAUGAAGCCCAUGCUGUUGUCUGCACACCAUGAACCCCAGCAGGACCCCAAGCCGACUGCUGACAGAGCAAGGUGCUAUCUCCUUUUAGCCAGCCUUGUUGCAUGGUGCCAUGCAGAAGGGGUGCGGACUGCAGGAAGCUGCUUUCAGCUGAAUGGGAUAAAAGGGAAGGCAAAACAUCAUCGCUUUAGCACCGGAAACUGAAAGGGAGAGAAAGAGGAAAUGCCCGUGUCUGUUACAAGGGAUCCUACAGAAAGAAAUUUCUCUGUAAGGUAGCUGUCAGUGUUUAGUCUUACUUAUGUUCUUGCACAGAGUGGUGCUGGUUGUUUCCACUGCUCUCCUUAAAGGUGUUAUGGUUAAUUAAGUAGAUCCUGUACAUCCCUAAUGACCAUGAAAUGCAAUGGGAGUAUCCUUCAUACACAGGUCCACCCUCACAUCAGGUCCUCUCAGAGCACUCAGCUAACAUCACUGCUUUGUGCACAAGAGAAAACCAACAAUUUCAGCCUCCUUUAGAGGGAAGGAGGCAACUCAGAAUGGGAUGGCCCACUUCUAUAUACAAAUUGAGUCCAGAAGAACUAUUUAUAUAAUCUAGGUUGGUCUUCUCACACCACAUGCUGCUGAAUUUCACUGGCUGAGUCUAUAUGAAGCUCACCAUGUUCUGCAGACAGCAGCAUCUCAGCCUCACAGCAGACAGGUCCCAGUGAGUCCUCCCAGCUUUGCUGCAGCAGCGGUGACCUACUGAGCUCAAUUCCAAGCAUUGCCUGCAAUCGCUGAACAAAAUGCUUUGGAAAACGAAUACUGUGCAUCUUUCUUCUGAGGCAAUUACGUGACCAACUUCAUGACAGAACACAGUGGUCUCUAGCAAGAAAGCAGAUAUGAUUUGAUGGGAAAAGUUAGGCCUCACUACAAAAUUAGGUUUUUAAGACUUGUGACUUACAAAGCCACCAAGAGCUGUGUAAGAGUUGCUUCAUUCAGGGCUGUUUCGGUUUUGUUUUUGAGUUGUUUGUUAACGGGAGUUUGGGAGA
This is a long non-coding RNA of Coturnix japonica (Japanese quail), 6969 nucleotides long. RefSeq lists it as uncharacterized. Lineage: Eukaryota; Metazoa; Chordata; Aves; Galliformes; Phasianidae. The record is from RefSeq and is a predicted model, not a curated record.